GCACAACAACUACAAGGUAAGAGAUCAAAUCUUCAACAUCUAAAAAAUGUCGUGUUAAUCACUGUUAAGCUAAAUUUAUAUAUAUUCGAUGAGAUCUUCAAAAAAUUAUUUUGGUGAAAUGAACUUUGUAUGUAUAUUGAUUUCAGUAUAAUGAAGGCAAACUCUAAUAUUUGAUCAUUUGAUGUUUUCUCUUGGAAAGUAAAACUAUCUUGAAAUAUAUUUUUUUUUUUAAUCUUGUUCUCAAGUUUGAUUUGUCUUGAGGGCUUUGCCACUUGUUAUUAUAGGCUUUUAGUUCAGAGUUAUAGCUCUUAAAUUUGAAAAUGGUUUAAGUUUUUAAGUGCCUUUAGCAUUUAAAGACGUGUUUGAUUCUCAACAAUCUAGUCAGUGAUUUACUUUUUUGAAUUCUCUCAAUAUCUUCCUUGGAGUUUUUAACUUCUUAAAUCUUUAAAAGAGCAAAAUAAAAUUAUAUUUGAUGUGUCGGUAUUAAGAGAUUUAGUCUAUUUCAUAAUCUUCAAAUGCUUCAGGGAACCUAUAUUCAAAUAUUUAAAACUUCAAUCUUUGGAUUUUUAGAGCUUUCGAGCUUUGUCGACUUUCAAACCUAUAUAAGAUAUCUCAAGUAUCUUGAUCUUCAAAACUUGAUAAAAAAAAAUUGCACUUUCAAUCAUCCGUCUUUAAAUCCUCAAAACUUUUAAGUGUUAACCUUUUCUUCCAACCCCUAAAAUGAGGAGUAAGACCUCAAUAUAUAUACGAAGAUGCCAAGGGCUUAGCUACAGUUCCUUUUAAGCCAAAAAUUAGGCUAAGUUUGUUCUUUGGCCCAAAAUUCUAGGCAUCGACGUGAAUUAGAUACACUGAAUUUUAAACCAGGACAACUUUAAUUUCUCGAUCCAAUUCAAAUUAUAUUUGAGACUCAAGGAGUAUUAGCCAAGUAUACCAAUCGUGGUCUAGGCUAGAUCACUAGUAAAUUGAACAAGUUAUUUUUGUGAUGAAUGACUACAAAGAAGACACAUGACCUUUUUUUAAUUCACCAUUCAUUAGCAUCCAAAUUUAAAAUUUGAGAAAAUAAUGAUGAAUUGGGUCUAAAAUUGAAUAAAAUGAACUUCUUCCAAAAACAAUAGAUUAUAAUAUUUGGUAAAUAUAUGAAUUGAGGUGUAUAAGAAGAGAAGGUGGCACUUAGAUCUCGAUCUCCAUCUUCUCGAAGACGUGACAGCGACUAUGGACCCACGCGGUUCAAACGCCUCAUCAAUUGCUCCCUUUUUGUUUCUUUCUUUCUUUUUUUUAAAAUAUUAUUAUCAUUAUUAUUAUUAUUAUUCCUUCAUACUUCAUAGUCAUGUUUUAUCUUUUAUCUUUUUUCCUUUUAAUUUCUUAAUUAGUAUUUUAUUUUGAUAAUCGCCCUAAAUAGCAAAAUACAUCAAAUAUUUAUACUUUUUAGAAAAACGAUUAAAAAUAACACAAUAUUUUGAUUCACAAUUAUUUCUAAAAAAUUAAAGAUAAUUAAACAAUAUUUUGAUUCACAAUUAUUUUAAUUUAAAGAUAAUUAAACAAUAUUUUUGUUCACAAUUAUUUCUAAAAAGAUCAAAGAUAAUUAAAUUUUUAUUUUAGUAAUUCUUUUAAAAUGUGUAAACAAUCUUUUUUUAUUAUUCUUGAAAAAUUUAGAGACGUGUUCAAAUAUAACAAAAAAAUUGAAACUAUUUACAAAAGAAAUAUAGUAAAAGUUAUUGAAUUCUAUUUAGCACGUACUUUUAGAUUAUGAAAAAUUGUCAAAAAUAACAAAUUUGACAAAAUAUUUAUAUCAUAUAGCAGAAUUUUAGAUUCUAUCGAUAAUAAUAUAGAAUCCAAAACUUUUGUUAUAGCUUGUAAAUAUUUUAAUUUAUUUUACUAUUUUUAUAUAUUUUGUGAAUAGUUUCUUCAUCAGAAUUUCUAUAUAUAAAACCAAAUAUUGAAAAUUUUUAAUUAUUACAAAAUAACUAAAUGAAAAAAAUAUUUACGGUUAAGACCAAAAUAUAUAUAUAUUUUUAAUUCACUAGUAGUUAUCUUUAUCAAAUAUUAAAAUUUAGUGGUGUAUAUAUAUGUUUAAUUUAAAUAACAUCAUGCAGUUAUAUAAAUAUUAAUAUAUGUAGAGUCAAUUAAUUGUCCUAACAAAAAAAACCUUAUUCCACUUUACUACUUUUAAAACUUCCUAUUUAUUUUCCUUCAAAAAAAAAAAAAAAAAUAGAACUCUACUAUUUAAAGAAUAACAUGGACCCUAUUUAAGUGUAAUUGAGAGUGUUUUCAAGAUGUAGCCCAUGUGCCAUCUCUUUCCUUCCCUCAAUUAAAUAACUAAAAAUAAAGAUGCCCUUUAACUCACCUUUUUCUAUAUUAAAAUAAGUAUUUGAAUAUAUUAUAAUAAUAAAUAUUAAAAAACUACAAAUUUCAUCCUAAUUUUAUUUUUGUUCAAUCUAUAUUGUUUGAUAAAAUAUCAUUAAGUCCAAAAUUUUCAUAAAUUGUUUUCAUAGACGUUGAAGAAUGAAAUCGAAAAAACUAACCCUUAAAAUAGAUAUUUAACGUUUAGACAUAAAUAGAUAUAUAUAUCAACUUGUUGUACAGUCUAUCACAUAUACAAAUUAAAUUUUUGUUAUAUUAAUAAAUAAGUUAGUUGAUUUUGUUAUUUUUGAAAUUGAGGUAAGAGUUUAGGUUAGUUGAGUUGAAGAUGUUAUUAAUUAUUUAAAUUUUUUCUCUUAUCAAAAAAAUGAAAAUUGUCUGAGUUACACUAAUUAUUAGCUAGUAAUAAUUUAUUUUUAAAUUUGAAUCUCUGCAUUUUUUCUUGAAUGAUUAAAUUAAAAGAUUUGUGAGAUACUAGGAAAAAUACAAAAUUCAAAUUGAUUCCUCCAUACAUUAAGGUUGAACAUAAUAAUCAUAUGAAAAACUAUAUAUAUAUAUAUAUAUAUAUAUUAUUAACCACAAUAUGCAAAAUUUGACACUUGUAUAGUUGGGCUAUUGUUCAUUCAAUAAUUAGUCCUUUUGUUUUAUUUUUCUAUUUUAUAAAGAAAAAUUGUUGUGUUUUUAUUUAUAUAUAUCUUUUAAUCAUUACAAAGGCCCAUACUUCGGCCGUCCGACGGCAGGAAUUAUAGAAGUUUGACGCCGGUAAUAUAAUAUAUGAUUUUAUGUUGUCAAUUUAGGUUUUAUUCCAAAAUAGAUUUUAACCAUUAGAUAUUUUUUUCUUGGGUCAUAUUUGAUAAUUUCUUAUAAAUAUUUUUUCUCAAUGAUUAUAAAACAUUUUUGGAAUGUUUUCUCAAUAAUUAAAAGUAAGAUAAUUCUACUCUCUUGACAAUUUAAUUCACUCCUCGUGUCUUUGCUUUUUUUGAAAAAUAAUAUCUAGAAUGGAAAUAGUACUUUUAAUUUCGAAGUUGAUCAUAUAUAUAUAAAAUGUAAGAUUUCAAAUCUCAUAGGUUACGAACUCUAUCAAAUUUUGAAAAGCCUAAACUAAACAACUGAAAAUAUAACCUAAGUUAAACUAGUCUAACUCAAAGCACUCAAAAAUUGUAAAAAAUGGUUUUAUAGAAGGUUUGAACAAUAGAAAAGAACUCCGAUCGAUCGACUUACAUAUAAUAUGAAAUCAUCACAAUAAUAUUUAAAAGUCUACGCAUAUUUUAAUAGGACGAGAUUACCGGAAGAAAUGAAAAAUGAAAAUUAGUGCAAGAUAUAGAAAAAAGAUAGAGAGAAUAAUGAGUGAGCUAAAGUCGUUGGAACAAAGGAAAAGGAGAAAUUAAUGAGAAUAAUGGACCAAGUCUUACAUGCAAGCAUGUAGGAGACAGAAUAUAAACAUACACACACAUAUGUGAAGCAAAUAAUUGAUUGCAAAUACAUGAGACAUAUGACAAUUAGGAAAUAUAAUCAAAGAUAUUAGAAAGAUCCCAAAUUUAUUGAGUUCCGAGAUGGUUUCAAUAUUUGGAAUUAGUAUUUGAUCGAAUUUUGAUAAUCAAAUUCAAACGAUAAUCGAAGAUGAAAAAAUAAGAUGAAGGUCUUUGAGAAUUGCUUGAAUUUCGACCAAAGAAAAAACGAGAGGUAAAUUAUCGUAGUCGAUUGAUGAUGCUGCUACUACAAGGCGGCCUUGACCGUUAUUUUUUAUUUCAUAUGUUGAUUUUUUUGUCAAAAAGAUUUAAUAAGAAUUUUGUUUAUUAUUAUUUUGAAGAUAAAUUAUUAAUUAUAUUAGUAGAUAAAAGAUUGUUAUUUUUAUUAUGAAUCUUUAUCUAUUUCUUUUUAAACAAGAAAAUUUGCGGGGUCUUUAAUUGUGAAGCUUCUCGCAAGUUUAGUGUGCCGAAUUAUUGGACUUUUAUUCGAAGAAAUUCGUGUUGCUGAAGAAGCUUGUUGAAGGUACUUUAGUUACCUUAUGUGUUAUGGUAAAUUGCUGAUUAGAAUCUAGAGGUGUUCUCACCAUGUAUCAAUUGAUAAUAAAUAUGAAAGAAGACUGAAAUAGUUCAACUGCGGUCAAUGAAUUCAGGGGAACUUGAAUUUAUCUUCAAGUAGAUUUAAACACAGAUUCAAGAAAAUCUAUCUUUGAUUAAUUGGUUUCUAUUAUAAUUUAAGAAUGUUGUUGAUUGAUCAAUUGAAUCUUAAUAAUAUUUCUUAUUUGAGCUAAUAAGUUUGCUCUAGACAUAGGUGCAUGCAAACUGGUUUAACAACAGUUUUUGUGUUAUUCGUUCUUUAUGUACUUACGAUAGCUAUUUUUGUUGUUAAUUAUUUUUUCGACAUAGCUAGAAGAUAUUAUUCAUCAUUUCACUUAAUUUUAACACAUUAGAUAUAAUUUAUUAUUUUACAUACAUAUGUGGAUGGAGAUGGAGUUUUUUUUCUUUUUAAAUGUUAUUUAUGAUAUGAGGGAGAACCUUGAUCUUGGAGUCCUCAACCCAAAUUAGGGUGGAAAUGGUUCAAUUCGAUAACCAAACCGAACUUAAUUGAAAAGUUUAAAAUUUCUAUAUAGGAAACAUAACCAAACUGUAUUUAUGCAGUUUGCUUCAGUUUCAAAUUUGAUUUUAGUAUUCUUAAAAAAAAUAAUUCAAUUUGGUUCGAUUUUGUUAUAAUCUAAAAAAAAAUCAAUUUGGUUCGAUUUUGUUAUAAUCUAAAUCAGAAACGAUUCAGUUUUACUCAAAUUUUUAAAUAUAUAAAUAUAAAAAUAGAUGUAUAUAAUAGUUAAAAUAUCUGUCUCGUUUAUAGAGAUUAAAAUGAUUAGUGUAUCAAAUCUCAUAUUCAUAAUUGAAUUCCUAACCUUCAUCGAGUUCUUAAGGAAAAAAAAAAAAUAUUUUGAAGAAUUUAUAAUUGAUAUUUGAUUUUUUUAAAAAAAUAGUAGAUGUUACAAAAUAUUUAUAACUUAUAGCAAAUUCUAUCAAUGAUAGUCAUUAAUAUACUACAGCGAUAUAAGACUCUAUCAGUGAUAAAAUUCAAAAUUUUUGCUGUAGCUUGUAAAUAUUUUAAUUUAUUUUACUAUUUUAAAAAUUUCUCUUGAAAAAUUUACAAAUAUAGCAAAAUUUGUCAAAUUUUAUCAUUGAAAGAAGUCUAUCAUUGAUAGAUCAUGUUGCAAAUAUUAGUCUAUUACUAAUAGAUCAUACAAGCCUGUAAACAAUACAAGUCUAUCAGCAAUAUUUGUAAUUUUUUUGAAAAAAUGUUGAUACAUCUUUAAUUAUUAUUUAUAAACUAUAAUUUUCUUUUUAAAAAUCUCCAUAAUAAUUUAUACAAUUUCGUAAGUUAAAAUUUUAUUAUGUUUCUUUUUCUAUAAACAAAUUUUAACAAAUUUUAUAGUUAAUAAUAAUUUUGAGUUUAUCUUUUUCCCAAAUGUAUGUGUGAAUAAAUAAAGUUAAAUAUAACAGUUGACAACUAUUUAGACCUCAAAAUAACGUAGAGAGCUAAACUAAUUCGUCUUCCUUAACGCGGAAGACGAAUUAUUAUUUUAUAGUCAAACUGUAAAUACCCAAUGAAAGAAUUUCAAGAAAAAUUUCAUGUUCUUCCUUUGAUUCUGCGAUUGGGGAAAUUGGAAAAACUUUGAAGUUUACAUUUUUAGAUUUCUAGGUCACGAGUUGUUGAAGAAUCACAUAAGAGGAAGCUUGUGAGUUGAGCUUUCCGUUUAUUUAUUUUGGUCAAACUUUUUUCUUUCCUACUGAACCCAUGGCUGAUUGUUAAAUUUCGUUGUUCAAGUUUCCAGAAUUUAUAAAGGUAUGCAUUUUUUAUCUAUUCAUUAUUUUAAUCUGGACAUUGAUUUAAUACAAUGUUGGAUGCUUUUAAGUCAUUUGAAUUUCAAAUUCAACCUCACUGAUUUUGGUUUAGAGUUUAAAUGGAAGUAAUGUUAUUGGUUUUGAUGAAGGGUUUAUUAUUGAAUUUGUUUGUAUUAUCUAUUGGUUAUUUCAUUUUGUUAUUGUUCUGUUUGAGUGCUGUACUACUAGAAUAUGAAUGGACAAUCUUCAAUGAAGUAUUUGGGGAUUAUAAUGUGUAAUUUGUAGAAGAUUUGAAUGAACUAUCUUGAAUGAACGGUUUAGUUAAGUUACCAGCCUUCUAAUUGUCUGUAUUGACAGAGGAUUUCAGUUCCUUGAUUGUUUAUUUUAAUGUCCUACCAGGUGUCUAAUCUAUUCAACCGGGCCAAUCGAUAGAAGUUUUAUAAUUAGCCACAGACUUUACUUACUCCUUCUAGUUUGCCAUACGAUCUUAAAAUGGUGCCUCUUUCUGAUCUUUUCCCAUCCUUUGAUCACUGUGCUCGUCUCUUUUCAAAAUGCAUUCAACACAAACAUUUAAGGGUUGGCAUGUCCUUGCAUUCCCACCUUAUCAAAACUGCACUUUCAUUUGACCUCUUCCUUGCAAAUCGUCUUAUUGACAUGUAUUCCAAAUGUAAUUCUAUGGAAAAUGCACAGAAGGCAUUUGAUGAUUUGCCCAUUAGAAAUAUUCAUUCGUGGAAUACCAUUCUUGCGUCCUACUCUCGUGCUGGAUUUUUUAGUCAAGCUCGUAAAGUCUUUGAUGAAAUGCCUCAUCCAAAUAUUGUUAGCUACAAUACCUUGAUUUCUAGCUUUACUCACCAUGGGCUGUAUGUAGAAUCAAUGAAUAUCUUUCGACAAAUGCAACAAGAUUUCGAUCUUUUAGCCUUGGACGAGAUUACUCUUGUGAGUAUAGCAGGUACUUGUGCCUGUUUGGGUGCUUUGGAGUUCUUGCGUCAGGUUCAUGGAGCAGCUAUUGUCAUUGGAUUAGAGUUUAAUAUGAUUGUUUGUAAUGCUAUAGUUGAUGCUUAUGGUAAAUGUGGCGAUCCAGAUGCGUCAUAUUCUAUUUUCAGUAGAAUGAAGGAGAGAGAUGUUGUUACCUGGACCUCCAUGGUUGUAGCUUAUAAUCAGACAUCCAGGUUAGAUGAUGCUUUUCGAGUUUUCAGUUGUAUGCCAGUAAAAAAUGUUCAUACUUGGACUGCAUUGAUUAAUGCUUUAGUGAAGAACAAGUAUAGCAAUGAGGCCCUGGAUUUGUUUCAACAAAUGCUGGAGGAAAAAACUUCUCCAAAUGCUUUCACAUUUGUAGGCGUUUUAAGUGCCUGUGCUGAUCUUGCUUUGAUAGCAAAAGGCAAAGAGAUUCAUGGACUCAUAAUCAGAAGGAGCAGUGAACUUAAUUUUCCAAACGUAUAUGUAUGUAAUGCUUUAAUUGAUCUGUACAGCAAGAGUGGUGACGUGAAAUCAGCUAGGAUGUUGUUUAACUUGAUUCUUGAAAAGGAUGUAGUAUCGUGGAAUUCAUUAAUAACUGGGUUUGCACAAAACGGGCUUGGAAGGGAAGCACUUCUUGCCUUCCGAAAGAUGACAGAAGUAGGGAUAAGGCCUAAUAAAGUGACGUUUUUGCUGUGCUGUCUGCCUGUUCCCAUACUGGUUUGUCAUCUGAAGGAUUAUGUAUUCUGGAGUUAAUGGAGAAGUUUUAUGAUAUUGAGCCUAGUUUAGAACAUUAUGCAGUCAUGAUCGAUAUGUUUGGAAGAGAAAACAGACUUGCUGAAGCAUUGGAUUUAAUAUCCAGAGCACCCAAUGGAUCAAAACACGUUGGGAUAUGGGGUGCAGUUCUGGGGGCUUGUCGUAUACAUGAAAAUUUAGACCUGGCUAUAAGAGCUGCAGAAACUUUGUUUGAGAUGGAGCCAGAUAAUGCUGGAAGAUAUGUAAUGUUAUCUAAUGUAUUUGCUGCAGCAAGUCGAUGGAUGGAUGCCCAUAAUGUGAGAAAACUUAUGGAGGAAAGAGGUUUCAAGAAGGAAGUAGCAUAUAGCUGCAUAGAAAUAAGAAAUAUAAGGCAUAAGUUUGUGGCAAGAGAUAAUUCCCAUAGUCAGAUGGGUGAGAUAUAUGAGUUAAUGUUUAUACUACUAGAGCAUAUGAACAUUAUUGGUUACAUGGCUCUUGAUGAUGGUAUUUACUUUUAUGAUGGAUACAGUACUUGAACUUUGGGCAUGAUCUAUUUGAAUCCCGUGUCUCACCAUUGCAAAUAUAUUGUAAAAGUUAGCAAUUUCAUUGAAUGAAUUUGAGAAUAUGAAGCGGAACGAUUAAGCUACAAGGCUGAGAAGGACGGAUUGCUAUCAAGUAGGAGAUCUUGAUUUUAUUUUAUUUAUUUGUUUUAGUAUUAUUAUUGUUUUUGUUUGUGGUAAUAUACAUCUAGUUUUAGUCGGUAAUGCAUGAGAAUAUUUAUCAUUCAACAUUUCAGUGGCUAAAUGAAUCAAUUAUAGGUCAUCAUCAUCGUGCUUGUAGUAUUUUAUUUUCUUUCCCCACCAUAUUUGUGUGAUACCAUUACAAAUAAUCCUAGAAAAAAUUGUGAAAAUUUGAACUUGUACAGGGCUGGACACGACUGGGCACACCAAGGUUAAGAAAAAAAUAGAUUUUCUUAAUUCUUAUAGACUGAAUUUUUGUAAAUUGAUCAAUCUUAAAGUAUGAGGACGCUAUCUUCUUUCUUUAGUCAUAGCCAACUAAUUCCAUUUAUAUCUUGUAAGAUUUGAAAUGUCGUCAAUUGGCUAAGCUCUUUAUCUUUUUGGUGAAGUACUGUAACAAAAACUUACACGUUUUAUUGAUAAAGAAGUAUAAUAUCGAUAUCAAUAUAUAGACAUAUGUUUUAUCAUAAAAAAAGUGCACGCAUCCUACUUUUUUAGAAAUUGACCUGUCAUCAUGUUUGUUUUGUGUUGCUUUGGUGUUUUCAUUUUUUUUUAAUUUUCUUUAUGUAUUGGUGACUCUGAUUCUUACAUCCUAUUAUAUUAUCCAAUAGGAAGAUUGUCUUUGAUUAAGAGAUAUCUUUCAUGGAAUGUGGCUCACUAGUGAUUUUCGUCUUGCUGCUUUUCUUUCUGUCUUCAUGACUUUGAUCGUUUCUUCCUUUUCUGUAACUUGCUAGGAAGACUGCUGUACUGGAGGUAAAAGAGCUGAUGAAGUUCUGUUCUUAAUUUAGACGGAAAAGUUUGUAGGUGUGAGGGCUCUAAGAGUUAGUUUGCAGAGAUGAAAUUCAGAAAUAAUUUCCCUGUAAGAGGGCAUCAUCUUUUCUUGGUCGUAGUUGCUCUCACAUUCACUGUCUUGGUGUUGUGGGCUUGGGAGAAUCCUUUCCUUACCGCUUCUCAGUCAGUUCAAGCAUGGUAUAGAAAUUCUUAUGCAGGUAUGCUUGUCAAUGCUUGUUUAUAACUCUAGAACUGGUCUACUAUUAAAUUAGACUAGUUUUUGGUAUUCUUCGUUGUUCUCUUCUUGUUGGAACUAUUAGAUUUUUGAGUUCAGUAGUACAUUUCUUUUUUAUGACAAAGACAAUCUGAUUGGAGAAAAGUGAAGUUUGGGAGGUUAAAGGAAGUAAGCUAAAUAUGGCCUUUAUACACAGUUUUUGGUUUCUCCUUUAAAAUUUUGAAAUUUGCUCUCAAAGGUAUUGACUUUUUAGUCAAGUUACUAUUUUCAAUAACGUGGUUGUAGUUGAGUAGAGAAACUAUGACGUAACAUUGACAACCUUAUAUUCUAUGAAUGGAAAAUAUUUGAAUGUUAAGUUUUUAUCUCAUUUCAUCCAAAUUAGAAAAUCCCGUUGGCCUUACCUAAAUAGAAGCUUACUUGAUGGACAACUUCAGUGUACAUGCUCCUUCAGUUUCAUGCAACUCUCCCCAUUCACUGUUGGUGCAGCCUUUUCUCUUGACUCAUGCUACCAAUCCCCUUUCUCGCAAACCUAUAUUAUUCAGCCUUAAUGCUCUUAGAAACCUACCCCAUGAGCAUACGGUUCUCCUUUCAUUUCUUUUAGUAAUUGGGUCCGUGGGUUUUCUUCUCCAAAAUAGUUGGUUGGACUUUUUUUUGGAUGUCAUAGUUGGUUGGGUUUUUAAUAUAAGAGAGUUGGUAAAUUUUUAAUAUAAAAAACUGCCAAUAUUUUUACAAUGCUGCAUCACUGUUGCUAUAUCAAUUUCAACCACAUUUAUUGAAUACGGAUGUUUUUGAAAAAUUUGGAACUUUGAGGACAAAAUUGAAACUGUCAAAUUGGCAAAAGAAGAAAUGGUUCAUAAAUGUAAUGAAUUUAGUUAAAUGCUGAAACAUAUUCAAAUGCAAAUUUAAUGUAUUUUGCCUUCUCUUGGUAUAUUUGUACCUCGCUGAUGGUUUUUAUUUGCUUAGGGUUCGUCGUAGGUUCAACAAAAAGUUCUGUAUUACCUAACACAGUAAGGGAGAACGUUGAAAAAACAUAUUCAAAUUCAAGUAUAAAGAAGAGAUAAUACAAGAUGAUGCAAAUUCAGAAAUUACACCCACAGAUUCUGCAUUCCAAAUAGUUCUUGAGAGGAGCAAGAGUAAUCAGAAUAGUAAGUACUGAGCCUAAACUAGUGGUGCUGUUUUCUAAUCACUAGUUUGCAUGUUAUUUUCUCUUUCAGAAUUGUUCCCUACGGUUGGGUAACCGUUAGGAGUUUCAUGGUGGCGUAAUCCUUGCUUGUGAUUGAAGCUUAUUUCUUAUUGAUUUUUGUUCAUGUCUCAAAAGAGAAGUUUUACGAUUUCUCUCAUUGUAGAAGGGAAAAUUCUAAAUCAGCUAUUUAACUCUUCGUUUUAUUGGCACAUGAUUUGUUUGUUAGUUAACUAACGGUCUAAGUAGUUUUUGGAACUAUUUUAGAAACCUUUAUCAAACCUCAAGGACUAAAAUGUUCAUUUUGAAACUUCAUGGACCAAAGAGACAUCCACUUUAAAUCUCAAAGACCAAAAGUGUAUUUUGCCAUUUUAUUUUAUUUUUAGAUUUCAUAGUUGGUUGGAUUUUUUAUAUAAGAGGGUUUGGUAAUUAUUUAAUAUAAAAAAAUGUCAAUUCAAAGAAAAACAUCACCAUUGAAAUAUCAAUUUUCAACCACAUUUAUUGAAUAUGGAUGUUCUUGAAAAUUUUGACACUUUGAGGACAAAAUUAAAACUGUUAAAAUCAGCAAUAUAAAAGAUGGUUCAUAAAUGUAAUGAAUUUAGAAAAAUGCUGAAACAUAAAUGCAAAUUUAGUGUAUUUUGCCUGUUUUUGCUAUUUGUGUACCUUGCUGAUGUUCUUUAUUUGUUUGGGGUUCAUGGUAGGUUCCACAAACAGUUCUGUAUUGCCUAACACAAUAAAGGAGAAUUCUGGAAAAACAUAUUCAAAUUCAAGUACAAAGGAAAAGACAGUAAAAGAUGAUGCAAACUCAGAAGUUAAACUUACAGAUUCUGCAUCUACAAUAAUUUUUAACAGGAGCAAGAGUAAUCAGAAUAGUAAGUACUCAGGCCAAAAUCGUGGUGCUGUUUUCUAAUUACAUACUUAGCAUAUUUAUUUUCUCUUCGCAAAAUUGUUCCCUUCAAUUAUGAAACCGUUGGGAGUUUCAUGGGGGCGUGAUCCCUGCUUACUGUUUAUGAUUGGAGCUUCUUUCUUAUUGACUUUUAUUGAUGUCCCAAAAGAGAAAUUAUUUUACAAUCUCAUUGUAGAAGGGAGAAUUCUAAAAUGAAGGAUACCUAGAGAUGUUUUGAAUAUUUUGAUAUCUUGAAACUCAUGAUAAUUCAAAAUGUGCUUUAUCAGUCGUUUACUUUGUUCGAUGCUAUGUUCUUGAUUAAAGAUCUAGUCGUGGUAAAAAAAUUUGACCGGUAUCCUUUUCCUAGUGUUGUUACUCUUUACAUCAGAGCCCUCUUAUAGCAAUAAAGAGAAAGGAAACCAUAUGGAUUGUUGUUGGUGAAAUUUUCAAUUAUUUAGACCAUAUGGAUUAUGGCUUUAUAGAACAAAUUUUCCUCAUCUAAGGUCUAUGUUUUCCUCACGAAACAAAGCUUCGAUUGUUAAAUAUUGAAUUAUAUUGAUAUCAGGCAUUUAUCAUGAAGGCCAUGACAUGCAUAUUAAUCCAAUAUUUAAUUUUAUCUAUGAAAUUAGCUUAUUCAGUGCACAUUAAAUCGGUUUGUUUGUUAUAUUGACUGAUUUAACUUUUCAGCCUGUAGCUAUGGAAAUGGAGGAUGGGUCCUUGACAAUAGUCGACCGCUAUACUCUGGCUUUGGAUGUAAGAGAUGGUUAUCAGCAAUGUGGUCAUGUAGACUGACCCAACGGACAGAUUUUUCCUAUGAAAAAUAUCGUUGGGUUCCCAAAGAUUGUGAAUUGCCAGCAUUUGAGCGGUCUGCAUUCCUGAAAAGGUAAUGACUUCCUUCUAUAUUUUUGCAUAUAGGUUUAGCAAGUCUGAUAAUAUAAAACUGUCUUGUUUUAUUUAGUGUAUUGGUUUUAAAAUUUUCAACCAAACAAUUUCCACCAUACGAUGAAUUCUGAAAGUAUAGGUAUCUAUCUUAUGGUCCUCAACUCUCUGCCAAGUGAACUAUUUAAUGGAUUGUGAUUUACUAAGGUUACUUUCUGCUAUUCUCGACACUCUCUGAAUGAUCUGAAUUUGUUCCAUUCAGAAUGCAGGACAAAACCAUCGCAUUCAUUGGGGAUUCAUUAGGAAGGCAGCAAUUUCAGUUUUGAUGUGUAUGGUCACUGGUGGGGAAGAAAGGCCUGAGGUUCAAGAUGUAGGAAAGGAAUAUGGUCUUGUCAAAGCCAAGGGUGCAAUUCGUCCUGAUGGCUGGGCAUAUCGUUUCUCAAAUACCAAUACUACCAUUUUAUACUAUUGGUCAUCUAGCCUCAGCGAUUUAUUGCCUUUGAACACAUCAGACCCAGCCACCGAUGUAGCAAUGCAUCUUGACCGUCCGCCAGCAUUUCUGAGAAAAUUCCUUCAUCUAUUUGAUGUGUUGGUUCUCAAUACAGGACAUCAUUGGAACAGGGGAAAAAUGAGACAAAAUAGAUGGGUAAUGUACACUGAUGGAGUUCGUAGUGAACUCGGGAACUUAAAAGAAAUAGGCAUAGCUAAAAAUUUUACGGUGCACAGUAUCGUGAAAUGGCUCAAUUCACAACUCCCUUCCCAUCCUCGACUCAAGGUUUUUUUCAGGACCUUAUCACCUCGGCAUUUCCGCAAUGGGGAAUGGAAUUCUGGAGGUAGCUGUGACAACACAAGACCAUUAUCUGGAGGAAGCAAAGUAGAGCAGAAUGGAUCAAGUGAUACAGUUGUUGAGAAUGCUGUAAGAGGUACACAAGUAAAGAUAUUGGAUAUAACUGCUCUUUCAUAUCUAAGAGACGAAGCUCACAAAUCCAAUUACAGUAUCAAAGGAACAUCGAGCGGUAGCGAUUGCUUGCAUUGGUGUCUCCCUGGUAUCCCGGAUACGUGGAACGAGAUUCUUAUUGCACAAAUAUAGAUUCUUUUGUCUUGAAGAUUUUAGAUUUUCUCUCUUGUGUAAUCCUGGAAGACUCAUCUUUCUAAUUUUUGCUGCCUAGAGCUGUACUAAUUGGUUCAGGGGAAGAUGAUCACUGAUGAGAUGGCGUUGGUUGCUACUGAAUUAAAUUAUAUGGUGGGUAUUGCCUACGUGUCAUUUUUCAUUUAAAAAGAGUCAAUUUAUACUUGUAAACUGUAUAAAUUACAUGUAUCAAUUUAAACUAUAAUAAGUAUAUUUCAUUUAACAAACUGGUGGAUCAGCAAAAUGGAUGAUUAGAAUUAAUGCAUUGACAUUUUUUAUAAUUGUACUUUUAUCUAAAGGUUCAAACUGAUUCGAAAAUACAGGCGAGUAAGGGUUUCAAAUGCUUUUUGAUAUGAGACGAGGGUGUAAAGAAAACAUAUUGACUUUUGACUUUAUAGAAUGAUGCUUGAUAAUGUUCAUGUUUCUGUUCUUCUUCAUUUAUCGAGAAAGCAUGCUUGUUUGAUCCUAAUCAUUCCCACCCAUUUGUUUACGAGGCCAUUAGGUAUCAAAUCCUCACAAUCAUUUUUCAAAGUUAUACUAUACAAGAGUUACAGAUUUAUCAACAAAUGAGCUCCUUGUAAGGCCUAUAUAAUUCACAACUACCAAGAAAUCACGGGUAGUACUGCCAUCCUUAAGUAAUAGUUCCUGCUGUUUGGUCGCGAUCAUCUACUGCGAAUUGUGCAAUUUCCUUUACGUAUGGGGCAGACGAACCAUAAUCACCCAGAGGAGUACGCAUAUAUCUAUGUAUCUUUCUAAAUUAUUACUUAAUAAAAGGGUAUACUUUAAUUUGUGUCCAUCUUUCCCAUCAAAAUGUUGUUUCAAAUUUAUAGAACUCUGCUCUCCAAUUUAUUCUAUUCCUUUAGCGAUUACAUUCAACUUAACGAAUAGUAAUCGCUAUUGUUAGGAAUCUAAUUCGUGUAUUCCCUUUUUAUUUAAGAUUAUGGUAAGUUGGAAUCUUAACUCAUUAAUAUCACAUGAUUCACAAUAUUUUAAUUAGGAGUUUUUUUUUCAAAAAUAGAAUAAAACACGACAAUAUUUAUACAACGUGAAAUAACAAAAAUACUUUCAUAAUUAAUCGGUCACACACCAUUUUGUGCCCGUCUAAACGAUCUUGUACCCUUAUACAUAGUCUAAACGAUAAUAUAGUACCAACUCUAAACAAUUUUUACCCAGCCUAAAUGAUCUUGUAAUAAAACUAAAGGAUCUGUUGGUGAUAGUGAUCUAUUUCUGUCUAUUUGAGAUAAACAACUGAUUGUUUACAUGUUAGUACACGAUCGUUUAGAUCCUGUACCAAUAUCGUUUAGAUCUUGGACCAAGAAGAAAAAAGAAGAUAAGAGAGGAAGAAAGAAGAAAUUUUGAAAGAGAAAAUGAAGAAAUAGAAAUAUGAAUAAGGAAAAGUAAUAACAUGAAGAAGAGAAAAAUAAACGUAAAAAAAAAGAACUGAAAAAUUGUCCCGCAAUAAUCAAAAUUCAAUAAAGACAAAUAUGAAAUUUAUAAAAGGGUAAUUGGAUUCAUAGUCUUUUUUUUUUUAAAUUGUUAUACAAAUAGUAAAUAUUUGAUUUAGCACUUUUGUUAUAUUUAUUAAAUUUACAUUUUAAUUAUCUCUAAUUCACUAAAUGUUAUCCUUUUUCUUUCUCGAUUGAAUGUAUCAAAUAAGAUUUAAGGAAAAUUAUUUUUAAAUUUUUUAAAAAUAAAUGUAACAAAAUAUAUCAUAAUGCAUUGACGUUUUUUAUAAACGUGAUUUUAUCUAAAAGUUCAAACGGUUUGGUGUUUGAUAAUGUUCAUGUUUCUAUUCUUCUUCGUUUGUUGAGAAAGCAUGCUUGUUUGAUCAUAAUCCAUUCUCAUUUGUUUCCAAGGCCAUUAGGUAUCAAAUCCUUCCAAUCAAUUUUCAAAUUUAUACUACACGUCAGUUACAGAUUUAUCAAUAAAUUAAUUAAUUUUUCAAAUAUAUUAGCAUAUUAAUGUAGUGAAAUGGAGGAAACUCCCCUGAGUCACGUCCUUCAUCAAGGAGUAAAUGAAAGUUCUUUAAAUAUCAUACUAAAGAAGCUUGAACUUCGAAAGUCAUAAUCUCAACACUCUAACCGAUGUCAGAUAAAAGGAAUAGCAACAAAUCACAUCAUUGAGAUAGAACUCAAUUACAUGCUUUUUGGUUUUGUGAAUGAUUGACUAUUACCGGGAUAAGUUGUUCGUCACUAUCUAUCUUCUUGCACAACAACGUCUUUCCCUCCAUCUUACAGAAUCAUUUGCAUACAAAAUAAUGUCCAUAUACGUGAGUAAAAAUCCCAACGACAAAUCUUCACUAAAAAAAAUCUUUUUGAAAAGGGAGCCAAAUAAGAUCUUUGUCAAAAUAGAAUAUUCUUCGUAAUUUUUCUUGACCGAACUCUUUUAGCCACGUCACCAAACGAAAUGAAAAGCUGAACAAAGCAACAAUCACGAGCCCACACAACAUCUAACAAAAGUUGGUUGAGCUCACAUAAAUUAGGGCUAAAGUGAGAAAUUAAAGUAUAUCCCUUUGUGCUGAACUAGGCUCUAUUAAACAACACAACAAGAAGAACAUUAAAUUCAACUCCAUACCUUCAGUGAUGUGGUCUAUUUGGCUUGAGAGAAACAGUAGUUGAAUCUUCAAAGACAAAUACAAAUCGACCAUUAAUAUUUGGAAAGACAUAUGUACGCUUUCGGUUCUAUAGACUAGCAAUUCUCCACUUUUUACAAAAUACAGUGCUUCAACAAUUGCCAUUAAUCUUUCGGCUUUUUAGUCAUCUUUUGUAUGGGGGCUUAUCUCUAGUUCCUUCUUUCCACAGGUGUUAUUCCUUACUUCUCUUGUAUCUACUGUUAUAUUAUGAAUGAAAGCAAGAUAAUGAUGAGGGUGCUAAAGGCUAGUGGAGAUGGAGAUGGAGAUGCGCACAUGCGCGGAUGCACUUGCUGAUCUAUUGUAUCCCUUGAAAAAAAUAGUAUCAAUGUACGCGUAAUUGAGAAAUAUACAUGCAAUUGACUUUAAAAUCAAGAUAGAAUUAAGCACGCCAUUAUGUUAUAUAUUAUUGCAAUAUAUGUUUAUUAAUUACUUAAUUAUUACAAGUGAAAACAAGUUCAAAUGAAUGUAAAUUCUUUCUAUCUACACAUAUUCUAAUUUGAUUUCUUGUAGAUGGUUUUGCUCUCAAUACAUACUUAAAAAGUAUAUGAUUUUAUUUCAUUUUUUCCCUUUAGAUACAUAUUUGUAUCCUUAACCCUUAAUUUUCAUAUGAUUAUGUUAUUGAUCAAUUGAUACAUUCAACCUGCAGCCACAAGUACAGUGAGAUUUACAUAUUUCAUUUCUCAUAUAAAAAGACCAAACUAUAUAUUUUGUGGCACGAUUAUACCUGCACUAAUUCACACUAAAUUCCAUCAAAACUCGCAUAGUCUAAGCUUCCUUAGAUGAGAAAUUCUCCUGUUUGCACCCCUUUGAAAGAAAAAAAAGAACUUCUAAACAUGCGCCCCACAACAGUGAGAUGAAAAGAUACAAAAACACACACAUAAUAGCUUUAUUUAAAAUGUAUGUUCCAUUACUUAUAUAGAUAGCUCAUACAUACGUAUAUAUAUAAGCAGUAGUAGAUGGGAUGUUGCAAUUUAUUUCGUGACAGGUUCAAACUGAGUGACCUCCAGGUAAUUAUCCCAUGGCCUAUAAUACACAACUACCAAGAAAUCACUGGUAGUACUGUCAUCCUUAAGCGACAGCACAAGGCGGUAGUUGGUUCCGGAUACAACCACGGACUCACAGUUGACGAUGGAAACGAGUGUGUAAUUUGUUCCUGCUGAUUUGUUGUGAUCAGCCACUGCCCGUUCUGCAAUUUCUUUUACGUAUGGGGCAUCCGAAUCGUCACAUGGACCAUAAGGACCCAGAGGAGUACACAUAUCUAUGUAUCUUUCUAAAUUACCCUUUCAAAAUUAUUACUACUUAAUAAGGGAAUGCUUUAAUUUGUGUGCUUCUUUCCAAUAAAAAAAAUUGUUUCAAAUUUAUAGUAAUAUGCUCUCCAAUUUAUUCUUCUAUUCCUUUAGCAAUUAAAUUCAACUCAGUCAAUAGUAAUCACUAUUGUUAGGAAUCUAAUUCUGUUUACUUCCUUUUUUAUUUAUUUAUUAAGAUUAUGAUAAGUUAGAAUAUCUUAACUAGAUAUUAUAAUUAUCUCUAAUUCACUAAUGUUAUCCAUUUAUCACUCUUUUGAUUUAUUGUUUGAAACAAGAUCUAAGAAAAAUUAUAUAAUAUAAUGAUACAAAAAAGACAACGGUAGUAGUAUGUUGUGUUAUAAUUUGAAAUUUUUUUAGUUCAUUUUUAUUAAAUUUAAAAAUAUACUUAAAAUCAACCUUAUCAACAAAUUAAGAUUUGUUUCUUUUAUAAAGGGGACAUGCAAGUACUUUUCAUUCACUUUGCAAACAAAUAUAUAUUUAUUUUUGAGGUCCAAGAUAGAUCUCUUAAGUUCUAUUAGCUCAAUUUAAUUUUGAGUAUUUGUUAGAAACAACCUAAUUUCUUUUUUCACAGUAUUUGAAAAUACAACCAUUUUCUAUCAAUGGAUUAAUUUUAUGAAUACUAUUUGUGAAUGGUACACUUUUUUAGUAUCAUUUGUGAAAAUUAGUUACCAAUGUAUUUCUAUAAAUUCGUACUUAAUAGAAAAUUAAGAAAGAAGUUAUGAAAUAGAAUAUUGAAAAAUAUGGUUGAAUUAGAAUAACACUGAAGUCAACGUACCAUUUUUAUUGUUGGUUCUUAAUAUACUUUGAAGUUUGUUCAAUGUAAUUCGUCACCUUUUGUAAAUUGUCUCUAUUCUUGAUAAAUCCUAAAUUUAGUAUUAACUUUAAGAAAAUAAUUUUGAAAGACUAAAGGUAAAACUUAUUGAAAAUACAUAGAAUAAAUUGAAAUUAAAUCUAUUCAAUUACAUGUCAUAUGGACUAAAUUAAAAAUAAUGGUCAAAGUCAAAAUUAAAAACUCAAAAUAGUAACUAACUAUCGAUGUCAAAAUUCUUUUGUGAUAAUGAAGCACAAAAAGUAGUUUUUCACUUUUUCCAAUCACAUUAUAAUGACGUAAUAAAGAGUAAUUAUAAUUGAUGACAAUUUUAAAAAUAAUAAUUAAAUAUAUAGUAAUAGUUUAAAAAAAUUUAUAAAUACAAUAAAAUUUAUUUUUAGAUUAUUACGGUUAAACUCUAAUAGACUAACAAUUGAUGGAUUUUAACCGAUUUUGUUAUAUUUGUAAUUUUUUAAAAUAUUGCUAUACUCUUAAUUAUUUUAAAUCUAAUUACAGGAGACAAAAUAAUUGGUAGCACUAUUGAAAACCGAUAAUGGGAAGCCUAUAGGAUUGUAAAACAUCAAAUUUUAUUAAUGAUAAGGAAUAGAUAUAUGAAGGGUUGAAGAUGAGCCCAAAGAGACUUUUAGUCAAGCAAAGAAUUGGAAUUUAAAGCUAUAGACAAAUAUGAAAUUAGUUUUAGUUUUAUUUAAAGAAAAAAGAAUAACUUCCGUAUCUUUAGGAUCAUUUAUAAAUAAGAAGUUAAAAGAUAUUCCUCAUAUUUAGGAAUAUUCUAUGGUAAAGAAGUUCUUUCUUGGCUAUUUAAAAAGGAGAAGUUCUUAAUGUAAAUUCAUUCUUCAUGUUCUUACAUUUAUAUGUUCUUAUGUUUAUAUAUUUUUGGUAAAGAAGUAAAUCGGUUACCUUCUACAUUAUGAUAGAUUAUUGAAGACCGUCAAGGAAUUUGACAAAGUAUCAAUUGAUAAGAAAUAUGAAUGAAGACUGAGAUAAUUAUACUGCGAUCAAUGAAUUCAGGGAGCUUGAGUUCGUCUUUGAGAAGAUUCAAGUUUAUCGUCAAGAGAGCCUGAGUUUAUACGGUUAAGUUAUGGUGAUAACUUAUUAAUGUAACUUUAGGGUUAAGUUACAAAUUUUUGAAUUUCAAUAAUAUUUCUUAUCUAAGUAAAGAACCUCCACAGAUGUAAGCCAUAUUUGCCAAACUGAGUUACCAAAAUGUUAUUUGUCUUAUGAGUACUCUAGUUAUUAAAUACUUGUGAUAUAGCUAAAGGGCAUUUAACCUUCUCACUUUUCACUAGGCUUGUAGUCUUUGAAGAUUCUAUUAUUUCUCUUCAGCCAAAUAACAUUCACUGUAUUUCUAGCAAUAAAGAAAUGCUGACAAUUUCCAUAUGAUUUUUUGUAAUGAUAAUAUGUGAAUUUAAAAUUUGCAUUAAUAAAAGAAAAAGAAAAAGAUAAAAGAAAGAAUAAUAUUUUUUUCAUGAAACAUUGUUGAGAGAGUAGAAGUUUGGAUCACCGACUUUGUUGCAUUUUUUUUAAAAAUUUUUGUUAGAUAACAAAUGAGAGUUUUAUCUUAUAUGAGUUUUUUUUUAUAAUUAUCUUCAUUUUAGGAAAUUAAAUUAUCUUCCUUUAAGAAAAUUAUUGAAAUUUAGAAAGAAAUUUGAUAUUUGAAAAAAAAAGUAUUGAUAUUUGAGAAAAUAAAAAGUGAUGUUUUGAAUAAAAUCUACUUUGUAAAAGUAAUUGUAGCAUAGAAGAUUUGAACUAUAGAGGCACAACACUAAAAAUAGAGUUUAGACAAAAUGAAGCUAAAUUUAUUAUAUAUUGUAAUCUAACACUUCAAAAUUAAUAUUAAAACAUAAAAAUCGAUAAUGUGAAAGGAAACACGUACUUUUGACUCUUAAUAAAUCUGCCCCAACUUGAAAGAUGGUUGUAUCGGAAAUAAAAUAAACAUUAAUCCUAAAUCGAUAAUGUGAAAGGAAACACGUACUUUUGUUUACUUUUUUACACAUUCAUCUCACAUAGAUAUUAAAAGAAUCAAUUUACUAAUGUAACAACUCCACCACGAACAAAUGUAUCCUAUUUUAAAGAGUCGCGUUCUGUAAUCUAAGGUUUUAUUUGAAAAGUCACGAACACUCAACAAAGAGUAAAUAUAUGAAAAUUUAUAAAAAAUGUAGAAAUGAAAAAGAUGGGUAAAGGUUCUUCAUACAUGUAAAGCAUCAUAGUAUUUAUUAAAUUAGGAAAUAUAAAAAUGGAGGUGAAAUUUGUUGAGUAGUUUAAUUAAAAGUUGGUUGACAAAUUCUAAAAUUAGGUAAAGAAGGCCUACUCUUACGAGUUAAAGAUAAGCAUUUAACUAACAUUUAUCCUCAAAUCACAUCUUCAUCUCUUUUUUUAUAUAUAUAUAGAAGAGAAACUUGACAUUAACGCAGCCAGACUAUUUAAUAAAUUAGCUAGAAAUAUUAUUUUAGACCACAAAACUGUUAAACUAGAUAUAUAGAAAAAAAAUUAAAAUCUAAAAUCUAUUGAUAAAAGUUUAUUAGUAAGUGUUACUGAUGUUUAGAUAUGAAUGAUAAAAUCUCUAUUUUAUUAUUAUUUUAUAAACAUUGAUCAAAAUCAAAAUUCAUUUUUGUUAUAUUUAAAAACAAACUAUUGAAUAAUAUUAUAUAAAUUUGACCCAACAAAAAAGGUUGGGGUGUAAAAGGAGAUUUGAAAGAUAAAUUUGAUUGACCAAACAACUUACUAUCUUUGUGAAGUAAUAAAAAAAAAAUGAAUAUUUUAUGAAAAUAUUGACGACGAAAAGUAAUUAUAAUGGAUGACCAAACAACUUACCAUCUAUCAUUUUCUUAAUUAUUUACCAAAAGGUAAAUUUUAUUUUUUUAAUUACUAUAUAUAUUUUUGAAUAAUUCUUUUAAAAACCUGAUUUGAACUAUUUAAAAAUUAAUAUUAAUAUAUAAAAAAAGCUAAAAGUAAAAAAGAAUAAGGAAAUGGAACCGAAGAUGAGAAAUGACAAAGAAGGAAAAUGAUAGACAAAUAUAUAUGUGUCAUUUAUGUUGUUUACAAAUGAUCAUAUGAUUAUUAUCGAUGAAAUUGAUUAUGACCAACCUCCAUGUGAAAACUUAAAUAGAAUGUAGGAUCUAAUUUGGCAUAAACUUAAAUGCAGAACGAGUGUACGAUGAUACAAAAAUGUUGGCUAACAAUAAAUAUAGAGACUUUAAAACAAAGACGACUAAUGAUGAAUUUGAAGAGAUGAUCGUCGUGAAUAUGAAUUUCUCUCUCAAAUACAUUCAGUGAGUUAGACAUGAAUGAGUAGAUAGCGUCAGGAGCACAAUCCAAUUAUAGUUCCAAUGGUGAUUGAUAACAGAAAGUUGUAUAAGGGAAUGUUUUGUGAAGAUAAAGAAUGCUGCAACAUAUGAUCACUAAAGUGUUUUGCUACUAAAGUCAUGCACCAUAUGAAGUAGUAAAGUCAGCACCGAAAGUGAGUUAUUUGAUGUGAGAAGUCAUUUGAGACAAAGUGGGUUUUUUUCAUUAGAGGGAGGAAAAUAAAUUAAUAUUAAUUAAAAUAUGAGAGAAGAUUAAAUUAAUUAAAAUAAUUUUUAUUUAAAACGAUGACCACACAUUUUUUUAAUUCUUAAUUUAAUAUAUUUUAAAAAAAUUUAAUUCAACACAUUUUAACUAAUUCCUUACCACUUGUUUGUCACAUUUUAUCUAAUUCACAUUUUAAUUAAAUUAAAAAAUUAAACUAUAAAGAUGGAGAUUUUUUUUUAAAAAAAUAGAAUCAAGACUGGACCAAAAUGAAGAAGAAUAAAAACUGCAUUAUUUCACUAAAUAGUUUUGAAAGAACACUAAUUUCAUAAAUAGUUCUUGAAAAAUUAACAUAAACAUAGAUAAGUUUCAAUAACAACCAUAUUGAAUCAAUUUUUUUUUUUUAUAGAAAAUAGGUUUUUCUGUGUUAGAAAGAAAAAUAAAAUAGUAUUAAAUUAGAAACAAGAAUUUAAAAUUACUUAUAAAUAAAAUUUAAAUAGAACAAAUAAAUUAAAAUAUAUAUGAAAAUAAUAAAUAAAAAACAAAUGGGAGAGAGAAUACAAAACAAAUUUGUAUGAAAGAGAAAAAAAGAAGAUUAAUUAAAAACCAACUUUCAUUUUACAAAAACAUUAAACGAGAAAUCAAAACAAGAAAUAAGAAAUGAAAACAUGUUAGACAUUUCAAAAAACAACACACAAAUUUAGGGCCGCCCAAUUGGAAAUUAAAAAAAAAAAACUACAUUACUAUUUAAUAUAUAUUAAAAACUCUACACAUAUUAUUAAAUAACGUUUCAUCUUAUCAAGUUGUUGUACACAUGAAUAAUUUUAUAGGUUGUAAUUUAAAAAAUAUAUAUUUAUCCUAGUGAAAUUUGUGAACAAAUUUAAUUAAAACUUAAUCAAUAGUUUAAUUAAAAGUUAGUUGACAAAUUCUAAAAUCAUCUAAAGAAGCCUCUACAAGUUUAGAUAAGCAUUUAACUAAUCUUUAUCCUCAAUCACAUCUUCAUUUCUUUAUUUAUAUAUAUAUAUAAGAGACAACUUGACACUAAACCAUCAAACUAUUUAUUAAAUUAGGGAUAUCAUUUUAGUUUAGAAAGGGUUAAAUUUCAAAUUUUUAGAAUCUAUAUUUCAAAUAGUUAUCUCUAUUUUAUUAUUAUUUUAAUUAUUUUUCUAUAUUUAAAAGUAUUAUUUUUUAUGGAUUUUAUGAUUUAAAUUUUAUGAAUACAUCAAAUUUCUCCGUUUGAAUUUAGUUAAUAGAUUGUUUUUAAAUAAACAGAUUUCAUAUUUUAAAUGAGACUGACUAAUAUUUUCUACGAAUUUAUUAAUUCUUAGAUACAUGAAAUUUCUAAUUAAACAGCUAUGAUAGAGAUUAAAAUAUCAAAUUUUGGUAUCUUAAUAUUCUUAAGGUGAAUAAAAAUAUUUUAAAACAAAAUAAACUUUUUUUUAAUGGCUCUUAUGCCAUCCAUAAUUAUCAAUUCAUGCUUAGGUUUUAUCUUCUUCGAUAUGAAUUCAUAAACAUGAGACAUUUAAACAAAACCUAAAUAAAAACUUUGUUUUGUGAACCUCUAUAAUUUAAUUUAAAAGAUAAAAUUGGGUAACAUUUUGUGGUGUUGUAGGUGCAUACUUUACCUACACACAACCGACUUCCGAACUUAAAUUUCUCAAUUUAUGGAGACAAUUUAUUUUUCCUUUUUGGGUAACCAAUCACACCCUGAUAUGGUUGGUGGCGACUCUAAAACUAUUUAUUUAUUAAAAUUAAAUAAACGAUGGAGGUCGGUUGCUCCGUGUAGCGAUCACGUCGUGACAAUUUUAAUUAUUUUUCUAUAUUUGAAAAUAAACUAUUAAAUAAUAUUAUAAGUUCAAAAAAAAAAAGAAAAAAGAAAAAGGAAAGGGUUGGGUGUGAAAGCCGACUUAAAAGAUGAAUUAGGUUUUCAUUUCAUUGACCUAACCAACUUAGCAUCUUUGUGAAGUAAUCAAUAAAAAAACACCACAACAAAACGUGGUAACGUUUCCCAAAACCUUUUAAUUAUUAAUUAAUGAUUAACAAAAACCAAAUUUCAUAAUAGAACUAAGUUUGUAUGAUAUGUACUAUAAAUACCAACCUAGUGUGUUAAUCAAAAUUUAGAAUACCACAAACCAUAUUACUAUCUUUCUUCAAGUGGCCGGUUUAUUUUUUUUUUUUAAAGAGAAAUCAAGUCAUGGCUGCCGCUGGAAUUGGAACAAUUCGAUCGUGAUUGGUACUGGAAUGCGAUACCGAAUGAUCCAAAUAGUAAUAGAGAUGGCAGAGUAUGCAGUGAAAGAACAGGGAGAAGAAUUGAUCCUGAACAGUGUACAAGCUGGACAGAUCGUUGAGGUGUUUUUGAGUGGCGACACUUAUUACAACCUUCUCAUCCUUGCUCAUCAUCCUCACACAUUUCAGGGGUUUUAUAGCACCAUUGUGAUGGAAAAUACAUCCAAAAAUGUGAAGCAGGUCGUAUCUUUUGUUCCUCUUCGUUAAUGAUGCAAUGAUGAUGGAUGCAUCAAUGAUCUACAAUCUCAACAAAUUAUCUACUCUCUCUCACUUGUUUAUGUGUAUGCAUGUUAUACAUGCAAUUGGAAUGAAAAGUAGUACAAAUUUAGAUAAAAUAAAAGUAUAAAAAGCAGGUAUGCUUUUGGUGUGUUUUCAUCUAAAUUCUCUCUCGUUUUAAUUUAUCUAGACCCAAAAUUGAGACAGAUUCAAAAUCUAGAAUUACGCCCACAUGAUGACUUCAACAUUUUCUUGCACGAUGAGUCCUUUGUAUCAAUUAGAACAAAUUAUGAUAAUUCUAUUUAUAUAGUUCUUUUCUAGCAUGUAUGUUUAAGAGUGGUUUUGUGAUGGAGACUGAAGUGCUUGUUUUCAAAGACCAAAUAGACAUUAAUCCUAAAUCUCACCGACUAAAAAUAUGUUUUGUCAUUUAAAUAAGUAUUUAAUAAAAAAUCACAUCUCAAACCGAAAUACAACAAUUUUUUUUCUUUGGAAAUAUUUGACAGUGAUUCAAUUGUGACAUUAGAUAUAAUAUGUUUUCCCUCUCGUCCUCUAGCUAUAUUAUUACAAAAUCCACAAAUUUGUUGCGAGAGGAAUAAUUAAUAAUAAUAAAAGAUGAUGCAAAUUAACAAAUGGAAUUAUCAAAAGUUCUAAUUAAUUUAAUCCAAUAUGUUAUAUUACUAUACUUUCAAGCAUGAAUGAUGUAUAUAAUCAUAUAAUCUAUUUUGAUGAGUUUUGAGAUAGUGACAUUGGAGCAAUGGAAGUGAAUGAAAAGACAAAGUAUUUGGAAUCAUAUGUUAAAACGUUAAGUUGAUUGGAGAGCAUGAUGAUAAUUUAUAAAAUAGUAAUUCUAAUUGAUAUUUGACUAAGUAGAUGACAUUUUUAUUUUCAAACAUUAUUAAAAUAAAAUAUGUUGAAGCUAUUCAUAGAUAUGUAAUAUCCACGGUGAAAUUUUUUGAUUUUCAAAUAUAAAUCAAAGAAUAUAUCAAUAUUUCAUCGAAUAUUUGAACUUUGAAUUAUUUGAAUAAAAUGUUUAUUAUUUUAUUUUGAUUUCCCAAAAUUAUAUCCACAAUUUUCUUCAUUACACAUCUUCUUUUCUUCUUUUCCCCCUUUCUUUCCCACAUAUUUUUCUAUUUAUUUAGUUAGUAUGAUCUAACUUUUAAAAUAAAAAAUAUUUACAUAAAAAAUAAAUAAAAACUUCCUAAAACAUUGUUAUUCCCAUUCAAUUUAAUAGUGUCAUUCUUAUAUUAAAUAGUUAUUUUUUUUCAAGAUUUAUCACAUGAUAACAAAUUCAUUUUGAACUAUUAAUUUAUAGAUAAUGUUCUUAUUUAUUCACCAAUUUUCAGUCGUUUUUCUGACCUUUGAAUAGAAAUGUUUUUAAAAUCUUAAUUAAUAUAUCAAUUUAUAACAACUAUCUUAGUCAUUUGUUUUUCCUUUAAUAGAAUAUAACUUUGGACCAAUUCUCUAGCUACCACUCUUUUGUAUUUUUCUUUUUUGAGAUAAUGCAUACUAUACUAUGCAGGUUUAGAAGUUUUGUCACGGAUAUGUCAAUUUAAUUGAAAUAUUUAAAUUCGUAUUUUUUCUCUAUUUUUAAUAUAUUAUUUUUUUAAAAAUAAAAUAAAAUAAAAAUAAUAUGGUCAUACGGCUUGAACCCUAUCAACUUUUAUAAAUACGCAUAAAAGUUGUUUGAGGCAGAAUGUUGAGUUUGACAUAAAUAGUUAAACUUAGUUGAUAAUAAUUGAUUGCGUUUUAAAGUGUAGAAUUGAGUUUAUUUGAUUUAAGAAGUUUUGUAUCCGGGUGCAAAGAGUCGAAUUAUGCUAAGUUAUGAAGAACAUGGACUUUUAUGGGUUUUUUUAAAAAGUUAUUAUUUUUCGUGUUCUAUACCGUUCAACUCCACAUACUUUCCUAAAUUCUUAACACAAAUUUGAGAUGUGAACGAACUCAAUAAAAAAGAAAAUAUUACAAUGCCCUACUUACAACUAUAUCAUUUAUUAUAAAUAAAUUAAAAUUAUAUUAUAAAGGAGAGUUUCACAAAAAAUACUAAAAAAAAUUUAUGAUAAUAAAAUCCAUAUCACUUAUAUUUUCAAAAUUGCAAAAAUUAGCAAAUUUAAAAACAGAUUACCGUUAUAUUUGCCAAAUUUACAAUAUGAAAAAAGAGAUGUUAUGAGACGUUUUUUUCUAAAUCUUUUUAUCCUCGACAAUUUUCCACGAUAACUAUAGAUUCAUGAAGAUGGUGGAGCACAUGAGUUUAACUAUGCACAAAAAAUAAGGAUUGUCAUCAUACCAUUUACAUGUUCACACACAAAGUUUACAUGUUCAUACAUCCACGCUUGCAUGGGUGCAUACACGCAAAUAUUGUUCAUAAAAAAUAUAACAAUAUAAUUAAUGAUCAAAAACCAAAGUUUCAUCAUAGAACUAAGUUGGUAUGAUAUGUACUAUAAAUAUCAAACUAGUCUUAAUCAAAAUUAUAGGACAUACCACAAACCAUUACUAGUUCUUCGAGUGAGUUUAAUUUUUCUUUGAAGAGAAUUUAAAGUCAUGGACACUGCUGGAUUUGGACCUUCAAUCGUGAUUGGUUCCUGUAAUCCGAUAUUGAAAGACGAUCCAAAAGUGAUAGAGAUGGCGGAGUAUGCAGUAAAAGAACAGGGAGAAGAUCAUUUGAUACUGAAUAGUGUAGCAGAUGGACAGAUCGUUACGGUGUUCUUGGGUGGCAACACUUAUUAUAACCUUCUCAUACUUGCUCAUCAUCCUCGCACAUUUCAGGGGUUUUAUAGCGCCAUUGUGUUGGAAAAUACAUCCAAAAAUGUGAAGGAGGUCGUAUCUUUUUUUCGUCUUCCUUGAUGAUGCAAUUAUGAUAAUGGGUGCAUAGAUAAUCUACGAUCUCAACAAACUAUCUACUCUCUCACUUGUUUAUUGUUUAUGUGUAUGGAUGUUUUAUAUGCAAUUGGAAUGAAAACUACUACUAAUUUAUGAUAAAAUAAAAGUAUAAAAAGCAUAUAUGCUUUUGGUGUGUUUUUAUCUAAAUUCUUCCUAGCUUGUUUUAAUUUAUCUAUAGUUAACAGUAUGUUUUUGUAUAUGCUAGUCUGUAUUUGUUUUAUAUUCUAGACCCAAACUUGAGAUCGAUAGAUUCAAAAUCUAGAUUUACGAUCACAUGAUGACUUCAACAUUUUCUUGCAGGGGAUGAGUCUUUGUGUCAACCAAAAAAGAUUUUGGCAAUUCUAUUUAUAUAGUUAUUUUGUAACAUCAUUGAUGAACUUUUAAAAAAUAAUAGAAAGGUAAAAAAAUAUACAUGGAUACAAAAUAGUUCUUUUUUUUUUUCUCUUCCCUUUAUUGUUGGAGUCGACCUUCUCCCUUUUUUUCCAAUCUAGAAAUCAAUCUCCCAUUUAUUUCACUUCCAAACCCACCUUUUAACCACUAAAAAUUAAGGGGUUGGUUGUAAAAAUAGUAAAUUAAUUUAUGAUAAUAGAGAUCAUAUUAAUAAAUUUUCUAAAUUGGAGAAGUAAAAAUUUAAAACUAGUAACCUUAUGAUUACCAUCGGACAGCUCUUCGAUAGUCCUAUAAUUACCGUUUGAUAGCCAUAUGAUAUCAUUAAUGUUAACAUAUUUACAAUAUGAAGAGAAAAAAAAGGUGUUAUGAGCUGUUUUUUCUAAAUGUUUUUGUCAUUUGAUGCAAUUUUUCUAAAAUCAAUUCAAUGAUUAAUUUUACAUUGGUAAACACAUUUUUCGUAUUAUUAAAAUUGUUUUUAAAUUACUAAAAAUAUUCUUUUGAGUGAUUUUGAAAGAAAAAAUUAUUUUAAAUAACAAACGUUUUGAAAACAUUUACAAAUAUAACAAAUAUCAUAACUUAUCAUAAAAUCUAUGUUGCCCUAUCUCAAUCCAUCUAUAGAUUGGGAUAUAUUCUUACUAUUUUUUUAAAAAUAUUUUGAUUUUACUAUAUUUAUAAAUAAACCUUUUGAAACUAAUAAACUAAUAUUUUUAUCUAAUUAAACAAGAACAAUAAUUUUGACUACUAAUCUUAAUUAUAAGAUUUUUUUUCUUUUUGAGUGAGAAUUUGAGAUUUAAGAAUAACAUUAAAUAUUUUUAAAUAUAUCAAAAUGAACCAAAAUAUUUAUAAAAAUAGCAAAAUUUUAGAUUUUUAUUAUUAGAACUUUUAUGAAGUUUCAAUCUAACAACAAUUUAUCAUUUACAAUAAUUCUUCUAAAAAAUAGUUAUAUCUCUAACAAAAUUGAUGAUAAAAAUAAUAAAGCAACCUAUAUUGAUUAAUUAGUUUUUUUUAGUACAUUGGGAUUUGGGAUUUGAAUUGUCAACCUCAAAUUAAGCAAUUACACCAAAAUAGGCUUGCUUUGACAAUUAAUAAAAAUUGACCAUAUUUAAUUUAUAAGAAAAUUUAUUUUUAUCGGAAGAAAUGUUAUAAAUAGUCAAAAAAAAAUAUUAAAAGUAUUUAUAAAAUAUAGUAAGAAAGUAGCAUUUUUUUACAUCUUCAUUUAUUAAUAUUAAUUCUCAUUAAUAUUUAGAAAAUUUAUAAAAAUAGCAAAAAGAAAAUUUACGAUAAUAGGGUUCAAGUCACUUACACUUUUAAACUAGCAAAUAUAGCAGAUUAAAAUAUUUUUAUAUUUGUUAUAUUUACACUAUACAAAGAAAAGAGUUGCAUGAGUUAUAUCUACAAUUUCUUUAUUACACAUCUUUUUUUCUUAUUUCCCCCUUUCUUUCUCACAUAUUUUUCUAUUUAUUUUGUUAGUGUGAUCUAAAUAAACAAUUCCCUAACAAAUAAAUAAAUAAACACCGCCUAAAAACAUCGUUAUUUUCCAUUCAAUAUACACUAGUGUCAUUCCUAUAUUAAUUAGUUAAUAUUUUUUUUCAAGAUUUAUCAUAUGAUAACGAUUUCAUUUUGAAUUAUUAAUUUGUAGAUAUUGUUCUUAUUUAUUCACAUUUUUCAUUCCUUUUUCUGACCUUUUGAGAGAAAUGAUUUUAAAUUCUUAAUUAAUAUAUCAAUUUAUAACAACUGUCUUAAUCAUUUGUUUUUUCUUAAUACCUAUCCCUACCGACCUCUCUUUUGUAUUUUCCCUUUUUGAGAUACUGCAUCCCUUUUAUUUCAUACCUGUUUAGUUUGGGUGAAAAUAUGUCAAUCUAGUUGAGAUAGUUUGAGUUGAUCAUUCCUUCCCUCUAUCCUUAAUAUAUUGUUUAAAAAAUAAAAUAAAAAUUAAAUAACAUGAUUUAUGUCAUCGACAUAUUUAAUUAAGGUUUGGGCUUGAGUCCUCUCAAAUUUUAUGUCCGUAUAGAAAAGUUGUUUGAGGUGUAAAGUUGAGUUAAAGUUAGAGUUAGUAAUAAUUGUCUUUAUUUAACAUGUAUAGCUGAACUUAAUUGAUAAUAAUUGAUUGUGUUUUAAAGUAUAGAGUUGAGUUUGUUUGAUCUAAAAAGUUUUGUGUCGGGAUACGAAGAGUCAAAUUGUGUCCAGUUAUGGAUAUUUGAUACAUUUUUUUUUAACCUAAAAGAGCAUGCAUUUUUUUGGGGUUUUUUUUUUUUUUGUUCUUUUAAAUUGUUAUUGUUUUUUUCCCUUUAACCUUGUGUUCUACCAUUCAAUUCAAUGACUACACAUACUUUCCUAAAUUCUUAACACAAGUUUGAGAUGUGAACUCAAUAAAUAAAAAUUUAUUUUACAAUGCCCUACCUAUGACUAUAACAUUUAUUGUAGACAAAUUAAAAUGUUAUUAUUUUAUAUGAUCUACAAUAUAACUCUAUAUCAUGAGAUCCUGGAGCAUAUGAGUUUAACAUAUGGACGAUUGUCAUCAUAGAUCUAAAUAUAUGUUGAUAUAUGUUGUUCACCCAUCCACGCAUGCAUGGGUGUCAAGUAGUAGCAUUGUUCAUAAAAGUAUUAUAUAUUAUUUAUUAAGAUAAUGAAACUAGUUAAUCAUGUAUCAAAUAGACAUAAAUAAUACAACCUUUUCCUACACUAUAUUUAAACAACCACUUAUAUUUUUGUCUGACUUUACUUAAAUAAAUUUUAUUUUAAAAGUUAAUUACCAUUUUUUAAAAAUGCACAAAAGGUAAGUUUUUAGAUUUGAGUGUGUGUUUUAAAAAGGUCUCAUUCUUAUUUUUUGGUUGGCUUGCAUUUGACAGUAAUUCAAAAACUAGCUAGUUUAAUUAAUUUUUAUCAAUACCAAAUCUAUAUUUUUUCCCAAGAUUUAUCUUACGAUAACCAUCCCAUCUUGAAUUAUUAAUUUGUAGAUAUUAUUCUUAUUUAUUCACAAUUUUUAGUCCUUUUUCUGACAUUUUCAAAGAAAUGCUUUUUAAAUUCUUAAUUAAUAUAUCAGUUAAUUAUAACAACUGUCUCUUAUUUUCAUUUGUUUUCUCUUAAUAGAAUAUAAGUUUGGAGAUAUUCUCUAUCUACCUUCCUUUUGUAUUUUCUUUGGAAAUAAAAUAGUGCAUUGCUUUUGAUAUUGAAGUAUGCAUAUAUUUGUUAGGAAUAGGUCGACUGAGUUGAAAUAUGUUGAUGUGACUUACAUUUCCUCUACCUUUAAUAUAUUGUUUCAAAAAUAAAAUAAAUAAAAUAAAAUUACAUGAUACAUAUCUAACUAAGACAACUCGAGUCCUCUCAACUUUUAUGUGUAUAUAAAAUGUUGUUUGGUGUAAAAUUGAGUUAAGUUAGGUGGAUAAUAAUGGUGUGUAUUUGACCUACAUAGUUAGUUUAGUUGAUAACAAUUGUUUGUAUUCAACAUGUAAAAUUGAGUUCAAUUGAUUUUAAAAGUUUGUGUCUGCAGUACAAAAAGUUGGCUAUUUGAUACAUUCUUUCAAUCUGAAAAAACAUGUAUUUUUAUGAGAUUUUAUUGUUUUUUUCUUUCAACAUUUUAGUUAAAUUUUUAAGGGAGAAUACUUGAGAUGUGAACUCAAUAAAUAAAAAUUUAUAUUUUACAAUGUUCUAUCUACAACUAUUCCAUUAUGGUAGAGAAAAUAAAAUAUUAUUACUUAUAUAAUCUAUAACUCUACAUCAUGAUAAGUACGAAACAUAUGAGUUGAACGUUAAAAAAAAUAGAAUUGCCAUCAAAGAUCUAUUUACAUGUUCACACAGAUAUCCAUGUGCAUAUGAGCACACACACUAAUAUUGUUCAUAAAAAAUAUUGUUCAUUGAGAUAAUCAAACUAGUUAACCAUAUACUAAUUACACAUAAACCAUGCGCCUCUUUUCAUACUAUCAAUAAUGCUUUUGUUUAUUUGUUUUUAUUCGUGUUUGGACUUCUCUCUAGCUCUUUCUAUAUUUUUCUGCUUCUUGUAUCUAUUUUUAAUCAUUAAUGAAGUAGGAAUGAUAUAUGGUGCUAAAGAGGUGUUCCACCUACCAUAGAUGUUUAGGUGCACCUGUUGAUCCAAACCUAUUUUCUUUUUUUAAAAAACUUACAUUUGCAAACACCCAAUUAAUUAACUAAGUAAGACUAAUGAUUGAGAGAAGACUAAAUUUUAAAGGUUUGUCUUUCUGUACUACACCAGUUUUUUUUUUUGUUUUCUUUAUGUUAUUUAAUUUUUUUUUAAAAAGGUUAACUUUCAUAAAUAGUACUCGGAUAAAAUAUUUACAACCCGUAUCACAAAAUGAAGAAUUAAAGGCCACGAAAUUUACCAUUUUUUAAAAAAAUUUAAGGUUUGCUCUUUCAUAUCAUCUUUUUCUUCUAUUAUCUUCUACGAUUUUUUUUUCUUUUCCUCUUUUGCGAUAUUUUUUCUUUUCCUCUUUUGCGAUUUUUUCUUCCCAUCAUCUUUUUCUCUUCUUCAAUUUAUUAAAAAUAUUUUCAUUUGUUCUUCGCUUUCAUAUUCUUUUCUAUGCAAUUCUUCUUUUUCUUUCCAUUGUUUUUUCUCCUCUUUAAUUUUUUCUCUUUUCCUUCCCAUCAUCUUUUCUUUCUAUGAUAAAUUUUUAUAUUAUUUUCAAAUUGUUAUUUGCUUCAAGAUCUUGCUAUUUUUUUCAAACUGUUAUUUGAUUUUUUAAGAUCGUGUGCCAAAUAUAAAAGAUCGUGAAAAAAAAAUCGUGGAAAUUUGGCUACCAUAAUUUAAACUAUCAAUUCUAAACGAUUUUGUGUCAAAUGUAAACAAUCGCGUACCAAUUUUUUUUGUUGAAAAAAUUCAUUUAGAUUGGACUACGCAUAUUUAAACGAUUAAAGUAAAUGAUAGUGUGAGAAAUCUAAACGAUCACAUACCAAAAAAUCUUGAAAAAAAUUGUUUAGAUCUGGGUGUUUAGAUUUGAUUAUCCAAAUCUAAAUGAUCAUUUUCCAAAUAUAUUACGUCCAUUGGACGUCAAUUCAUCAAAGAGCAUUUUUGGUAUUUUCCAUUAUGGGCCUGUGGGUUUUUUUCGUUUUCGAAAUUGUUAUAUACAAUAUAAAUAUUUUAUUGCUUUGUUCAAUAUUUAAAAAGACAAAAAAAAAAAAAAAAAAAAACAAAGAAACAAAAAAACAAAAAACAAAAACAAAUUGUUCAUUUAAGAAAUUAUUAUAAACAAUACAAGCGUUAUAGGUACUGUUAAACUUCUAUUAAUAUCUAUCAGUGAUUUAGAUAGACAUGAAUAUAAGUCUCGAUCAGUAUUUAUCUAUAAUAUAUAAUUUUGCUAUAUAUCGUAAAUAUUUUGGUUCAUUUUGCUAUAUUUGAAAAUACGUCCGUUCUUUAACGAUAUAUAUAUAUAUAAAUUCUAACACAUUCUAAUAGAUCUAUUGGUGUGAGAUUUUUUUUACGAGUUACUGUUUUAGUAUGUUUUAGUAUGUUUAAAGGAGAAUAUUUUUUCUGAAACUUCGUGAGAUUUUAUGUUUAAUCAAAGUUUAAAAUAUCGAAGGAGCAUUUUUAAAAUUAGCAAAAUAAAUUAAAAUAUUUAGCAAAAUUUUGUAUUCUAUCAAUGACAGAAACGGAUAAACUUCUAUCACUGUAUUUCAAUGCCACUUAUAGAAACAUAUCAGUGUCUAUCACUGACUUUUUAGAUUUGAAGCAUUUUUCCAUCACGAUCAUGUGGAUAUGAUCUAAGCGAUCACUUACCAUAGUCUACACGAUCAUUUAGUAUGGUCAACACAAUCGUUAGAUUUGAAAUAUUUUUUCUAUCGUUAAAAAGAAUUACACUAUCGUGUUGAUAAUACCUACAUAAUUGUGUAUACCUAUAAGAUCGUAUAUCAUAUCCUUUAGAAGAAAAAUUACACCCGCGCUUGUGGCCGAUUAAUCGCGUGUUGACUUAAUCAUUUUUUUUUGUAUUUUCCAAUAUUGUAGGCUUGUGGGUUUUUUCUGUUUUCAAAAUUGUUCUAUAUAAUGUAAAUAAUUUGCCGGUUUGUUAUAUUUUUUAAAAAACCCUAAUUUUAACAAUUUUCGAAAGUUUAAGAAUAUUUUUUAAACUUUUGAAAGUUUAGGGAUAUUUUUGACAACGUAGGUAUUUUUUUUAUUUUUGUAAUUUAGCUUUUAUUUUUUAUAUACCUUUUAAAAUCAAUUUAUAGACUUUGACUCGGCGUUAUCAUUUCUUAAUUAACUCAAAUUGAUCCAAAUAAAAUAAAUUAUUAUUAUUUUAAUAGACUCAUAACCCAAGUUUCAUUUGUUAAUAGUUGAGUUUUACAUUGUCCAAUUAAUUAAAAGCAUAGGAAGGAGGGGUUUUAUUAGUAUUAUUAUUUUUUCUAUUUUCUAUUGUCCAAAUAUGUUUUUUGAAAGGAAGGGGUAGUUGGAAUAUGAAUAAAUGGGAGUAGUAUAAAUACCAAACUUUCAAAACAUAUAUAUUGUACUAAAAGCAUUCCAUAUAGCAAUAAGUUUAUCAAUAUUACAAGUAAGUAAACAAUAUCUAAAAUGGCUUCUGAUCUCGUGCCCGGCGGCUAUACUCCAGUUGAGAAUCCUCAAAGUUCACGCAUGAAAGAAUUAGCAGAAUGGGCAGUAGCAGAGCACAACAAAAAGCGGGGACACACUUGAUGUUCAUUGGUAUAUUGACUUGUGAGUCACAAAUUGUGGAUGGAGUCAAUUACCGCUUUACCUUGACGGCUAAGGAUGAAAAAGAUAAUUGUGAGAUUGAAAGCUAUAUGGCUGUUGUCUUUGAGCAACCAUGGGAGCAUAUCAAGGAGCUCGUUUACUUUCAGAAACUCUUAUUGGCUGAACAAUGAAUAUAUAACAAAAUUACUCCUACUUUUAAUUAACCUGCUUUAAUGCGUUAUCAUACGUAUGUGUGGCGUACUCCCUUUAUGGUCCAUCUAUAGAAGGGAUAGCAAAAUAAAAGCUCUCCUAGUUAAUUGCACUUCCAGAAGUGUAGGUGCAAUGUUGUUGGGUUAGUUAAGUUGGUAAUUGUUAUUGUUUGUAUCCAUGGUGGAGUGAAGAGUGAUGUUGAGUGUUGGUAAUAAUAAUUGUUUGUGUUUGGAGUGUAGAGUUGAGUUGGUUUGAUUUUAUAAGAAGUUUGUGUGUGGUGUAUGAAUAUUUGAUGCAUUUCUAACUUCUUGUGAUCUAAAAAUAAACAUGCACUUCUAUGGGUUUCUUAGUAAUUAUUUUAUAUUAUAUUAUUGCUAUUGCAUGCUAUUGUUUCC
RNAcentral lists this long non-coding RNA (34959 nucleotides) under Cucumis sativus (cucumber). Its description in RNAcentral is "long non-coding RNA (CSAT_LNC002466)". The record is from RNAcentral. Lineage: Eukaryota; Viridiplantae; Streptophyta; Magnoliopsida; Cucurbitales; Cucurbitaceae.